UACGUAUGAGGCGAGCGUUGUUCGGAAUUAUUGGGCGUAAAGGGCGUGUAGGCGGGAAGUUAAGUUAGGCGUGAAAUCCAUGGGCUUAACCCAUGAACUGCGCUUAAUACUGAUUUUCUUGAGUUCGGGAGAGGAGAGCGGAAUUCCCGGUGUAGCGGUGAAAUGCGUAGAUAUCGGGAAGAACACCAGUGGCGAAGGCGGCUCUCUGGCCUAGAACUGACGCUGAGGCGCGAAAGCGUGGGGAG
Molecule: ribosomal RNA, 245 nt
Filed under: uncultured Clostridia bacterium
Lineage: Bacteria; Bacillati; Bacillota; Clostridia
Description: partial 16S ribosomal RNA
Rfam family: Bacterial small subunit ribosomal RNA
Source: RNAcentral